CGGGUGAGUAAUGCGUGACCAACCUCGCCCCAUGCUCCAGAAUAGCUCUUGGAAACGGGUGGUAAUGCUGGAUGCUCCACUGACGCAUGUCUUGUUGGGAAAGUGUUUAGUGGCAUGGGAUGGGGUCGCGUCCUAUCAGCUUGUAGGCGGGGUAAUGGCCCACCUAGGCUUCGACGGGUAGCCGGCCUGAGAGGGCGGACGGCCACAUUGGGACUGAGAUACGGCCCAGACUCCUACGGGAGGCAGCAGGU
RNAcentral lists this ribosomal RNA (251 nucleotides) under uncultured Gardnerella sp. Its description in RNAcentral is "partial 16S ribosomal RNA". It matches the Rfam family "Bacterial small subunit ribosomal RNA", at positions 103 to 354 of the family's 1533-position model. The record is from RNAcentral. Lineage: Bacteria; Bacillati; Actinomycetota; Actinomycetes; Bifidobacteriales; Bifidobacteriaceae.